ACGUGGUGCUGUCGUCAAAUUUCAAUUUGUAAAAGACGAGAUUUACAACAGUGUAUUCUACUUCCUAUUGCUUCGAUUUACAGCCAAGCUUUGCCUCUUGUUUGGGGCAUAUUUCACCACAAAUUGCCGAAUUGAAGGUUGAUAGCUGUAGCGUGUACGGAGUAGUUAGAACCAACUGUUUUAUUGCGCAAAUAAUGUCCGAGACCUAGCAACACAAGUUGAUCCCCAGGUUAUCGAAACUGCCCGCUAACAGCCAUAGCCCCAAGCAAAUUUUCCUGUUUGUGAGAAUCGAAUUGCACUCUAGGCUACUGCUUAGUCAGUGUUUCCAAGGCCAACCCUUUGCUCUCGCUCAUCAACUCUGCGACUGAAAGUAUCGUUUUGAAUCUCUUCCUGGCCCUGGGCUGGGAGUACACUGGCAGCCUUCCCAUCAUGACCGCUCCCCAGCUGCGGCACCAAGUCAUCCGGAUUUACAAAGAGCUCCUCUUCCUUGGCCGCGAAUACCCUCUCGGCUACCAAUUCUUUCGCGAACGCUUACACCGUGCUUUUGCGAGCCAGGCUCACGUCACUGACGAGGCGAAAAUCGCAGACGGAAUACGGAGGGCGGAGUAUGUGAAGAAAGAGAUUGAGGCAUUGUGAGUUAUAUUCCUUGCUUGUGUAUUUCUACCCUUCUUUUACUGUUCUCAUAUUUUCCCACGAUGGUUGUUUGGGUUGCGAUCCGGUGAUUUUAAUCGGCAAUUGAAGAACGAGCAAAAAAUAAAUAAAUAAAAUGAAUUCCCCUGUGGCUCCCCCAUUUUAUACACACAGAAUAAUAUUUCAUUUACAGCAAAGUAUGGGACGAUAAAAAAGGAAGAGGGAGGGGAAAGAAAUGUACAGAUAUUGUUACUCCAAAAAGCCAAGUGGAAGAAAAAGGGCAACAUAUGGUCCAAAUGAAAGAGGUCGGAGAUCAAGCAGGGAAAAGGGGGGAUUUGCGGAUCCCCAAGAAGAAGCACCCUCCGAAUAGCGGCCUCUUGCUCGCACAGUUCAUGCACCAUGUUUAAAUGUUAUUUCGUCGUGCCAAAAUCCGAUAUUAUUUGUGCUGGUUUUGGUAUAUUGGCUUGCGAUGGGGCUGUGGAAAUUAUACGAAAAUAAAGGAGAAAAAUGAAACGGAGCGCUAACGAUGGUAAAAUGCAGAUAUUACUUGAGACGAUAUCGCGCCCUCAAGAAUCGAUAUGAUAUACCCAAAGUUCCUGUCGAGACAUGAGCUGGCUGACCGCAGAGAGGGAUGUAACAAAGUGGCGGGGGGAAUCGAAGGAGAGCGAGGAUGAGAGUGCCAACCAAGGCUUGUCACAGCAGGAUCCGAAAUGAGAAAAUGUUAUCCGCCGUUUCUCAAGGAUAUAAUAGCUCGCCAUCGACAUAAAAUGAAUUGGAAAAAUUGAACAAGCACAGUUAUCGCUUUUGGCCCCACCAUGCUCCGACCUCGAGACACUCGCCACUUGCCACGCCACCGUUCUGCAGCAAGUCCAUUGUCAUUCCAGUCCACCAUCGAUCCCAUUCGUCUCUGCCUUUUCCACUAACCUCCAUCAGCAUUGGCUCCAUACUCUCGAUCAUUUGAACGAUUGUAAAUAGCGCGGUCUGGCGUAUGGCAAGCUGGUCUGCUGAUAAGGUCUUGGGCUGUUUCCAGUUUUUGGAUGCGCCAUCCUGCGGCUCUCGCUCCCAUUUGACUUCUCCCAAAGGAAUUGCUAUCCUACGACUAUCCAUGCUAUUGAAGGAAUCCGACUCGGAUGUGAAGGAAAGGCCUAUCAUGGCACAUGGCAUGGGCGUUAGUCUGCGACGUUCAAAAGCCUUUUGCGCCCAGGAGUUGUAAUCGCGUAAAUAUUUGUUCUGGGCAUCUGCGAAUGGGGUAGCUGGAAAUAUGGUGUAUGUGCCUGUGGCUACCGCAUGUUCCACGUUUUCCCCCGAUAGCCCAGGUACAAGUGGCGGAUUUGGCAAAAGCGUUCUAAA
Molecule: small RNA, 1980 nt
Filed under: Histoplasma capsulatum
Lineage: Eukaryota; Fungi; Ascomycota; Eurotiomycetes; Onygenales; Ajellomycetaceae
Also listed under: 1 other name
Description: hypothetical RNA
Source: RNAcentral